This 497-nucleotide ribosomal RNA is filed under the name uncultured bacterium. RNAcentral describes it as "partial 16S ribosomal RNA". It matches the Rfam family "Bacterial small subunit ribosomal RNA", at positions 28 to 507 of the family's 1533-position model. The record is from RNAcentral.
GAUGAACGCUGGCGGCGUGCCUAAUACAUGCCAGUCGAGCGAACAGAUGAGGAGCUUGCUCCUCUGACGUUAGCGGCGGACGGGUGAGUAACACGUGGAUAACCUACCUAUAAGACUGGGAUAAUUUCGGGAAACCGGAGCUAAUACCGGAUAAUAUAUUGAACCGCAUGGUUCAAUAGUGAAAGACGGUUUUGCUGUCACUUAUAGAUGGAUCCGCGCCGCAUUAGCUAGUUGGUAAGGUAACGGCUUACCAAGGCAACGAUGCGUAGCCGACCUGAGAGGGUGAUCGGCCACACUGGAACUGAGACACGGUCCAGACUCCUACGGGAGGCAGCAGUAGGGAAUCUUCCGCAAUGGGCGAAAGCCUGACGGAGCAACGCCGCGUGAGUGAUGAAGGUCUUCGGAUCGUAAAACUCUGUUAUUAGGGAAGAACAAAUGUGUAAGUAACUAUGCACGUCUUGACGGUACCUAAUCAGAAAGCCACGGCUAACUACGUG